RNAcentral lists this ribosomal RNA (252 nucleotides) under uncultured bacterium. RNAcentral's name for it is "partial 16S ribosomal RNA". It matches the Rfam family "Bacterial small subunit ribosomal RNA", at positions 525 to 776 of the family's 1533-position model. The record is from RNAcentral.
ACAGAGGUCCCAAGCGUUGUUCGGAUUCACUGGGCGUAAAGGGUGCGUAGGUGGCCAGUUAAGUUCGGUGUGAAAGCUUCGGGCUCAACCCGGAAAUGUCAUCGAAAACUAUCUGGCUAGAGGAUUGGAUGGGGGACUGGAAUUCUCGGUGUAGCAGUGAAAUGCGUAGAUAUCGAGAGGAACAUCAGUGGCGAAGGCGAGUCCCUGGACAAAUCCUGACACUGAGGCACGAAAGCUAGGGGAGCAAACAGG